UACAGGGGGGGCAAGCGUUGUUCGGAAUUACUGGGCGUAAAGGGCUCGUAGGCGGCCAACUAAGUCCGACGUGAAAUCCCAAAGCUUAACUUUGGAACUGCGUCGGAUACUGGAUGGCUUGAAUUCGGGAGAGGGAUGCAGAAUUCCAGGUGUAGCGGUGAAAUGCGUAGAUAUCUGGAGGAAUACCGGUGGCGAAGGCGGCAUCCUGGACCGGUAUUGACGCUGAGGCGCGAAAGCCAGGGGAGCAAACGGG
Molecule: ribosomal RNA, 253 nt
Filed under: uncultured bacterium
Lineage: Bacteria
Description: partial 16S ribosomal RNA
Rfam family: Bacterial small subunit ribosomal RNA
Source: RNAcentral